ACAUAUAUACGACAGGCUUCUUUCAGUUUCUAGCUACCAAAUCCCCUGACAAGAGUUUGGUCGAGCCUGGGUCUAUUGUAGAAGACUUUUGCCUAAGGUGCCAUGCAGUGGGACUGAACCCGGAACCACGUAGUUGAGAAGCAAAUUUCUUACCACACA
This is a long non-coding RNA of Octopus sinensis (East Asian common octopus), 159 nucleotides long. RefSeq lists it as uncharacterized. Lineage: Eukaryota; Metazoa; Mollusca; Cephalopoda; Octopoda; Octopodidae. The record is from RefSeq and is a predicted model, not a curated record. The transcript is spliced from 3 exons.